CUAAAAUAAGAAAAAUCGGAAUAAAAUUUUGGCCUAACCCUAACCUGCUGGUACACCCACUACGGGAGUAUCAAAAAUUUUACUGGAUGUUGAGCGAUGUCGGAAAUCACUAUUUAUUUUGCUAUGGGCAUGAAGUUGAUCGAAUCUGCUGGCAGUGAGAUGCAGGCUACUGAGAAAUCUCGGUCUUCCCUUUGUUGUUUUCAGUCUUUCGGAGACUUCGGAACCAUUCGACCAAGAGAAAUUUUUGUCGCUUCCUGAUAAUAUUUAAUGAUCAAUGUGAUCUGGACUCCAAUUUGGAUAGAUAUGAAUAAAGUGAAUGAGGUGGUAUAGUUCUUUUUAGGUGACCACCGUACUACUUUCUUUGGAAACACCUUUAUAUAUACGCUCUGUGCCUUUUACUUAUGGUUUUGUUUGCACUGCGAUUCCGCAGUCAGUUUAAUUGUUUUAUUUUUUAUCAAUUAUUUUAUCGUCUGUUAUGCCGAGUAAGGAGUUUAAAUAAACGUAUUCACUAUCUAGUGGAAUAUUUAUAGAAAACUUCAAGACAGCAAAAGUUCCUCAGUGUGUCAAUCAUUACUAACCGUGUUCAAACAUUAUUAGUCAGCCACAUCGGAUACCGUUGCUCAGUAUGGCUGCCCGAGAACAAAAUGCUCAUCUCAUAUUGGUAGCCGAUAUAUUCCCAUACCCUAUUGGUUUACCCCAGCAUUGCCUUAAAUCAUGUAUACAAGCUAUUCUGCUACCGGUAAUAUCAAGUACGGUACUUAUUACAAUCUGGACUAUACCAAUUUGGCGAAUGAAGUGGUGUAGCCGACCUCUUCAUGCACCUAACUCGAUAAAUUUGGCAAUCUCAACCAUUAUAAAAUUAUUAAUAGGGUGGUUAAUGAGGCGCUUCAAUUAAUAAAUUUGUAUAUGUGCGACACAAAAGUCAAAUCAAAAACAAUAACUCAGUUGUGUGAAAUAGAUAGUUUUUUUUUAUGCGUGGAAGGCUGAGCAGAAACUGAUAUUCAAGAGAAAUCGAAAAAUAAAUCUACAAAAUAUUUACUUUGCAUAAAAACCUAGUGAUACUGAUUAUAAAGUAAAUAUAUACAUGCUAUUACAAAAUUCACAGAACAUUGAAAUGGCAGAGAAAAUACUUCCUACAAGUGAUCCUGAAUUUUUUUAGCAACUUGCACCAAGCCAUUGUACAAAUAUUACAAUUUUUUUUAUUAAUAUAACAUUUCAAAUAGACGAGUAUUACAAGUCAAAGAAUAUUUUUGGACCACAUGAAUAGCAUUUGCUAUUUUAAAAUCAGUGUACGAGCGUGCACAAAAAGUCAAAAACAAUUCGAUGAACAAAAUGCAAUCUUAUCACCAUUCAGUUAUUUUUUUUUGACUUUUCUAGCCAUGCUUGGAGAUAGACUUUUAACAAUUAAUCAUAGCCAUUAUGUAUGAAAUAUUGCUGCUAAUUUAGGAACAUUUCUGCUCUCUCGCCUCAUCGAGGCUGCCGACUUCUCUUUUUGUGAUUAAUUAUCAUUAUUUUCUCCCGAUAAUCUGAUUAUGUAUGGACUAUUGGAGCUCAAAAGAUGCGAAACACUGGUGUCAAACCAGAGUCAGACUCCAUUAGCAAUGAAAUAUAACCAAAAUUAUCUUGUCCAGGACACAACAUGUUAUAAACACUGAUCACAAUAUACACACAGAAGGUGUUAAAAAUAAUCUGCAUCCUUAGUGGAUCAUUGAUUUAUAUAUAUAA
This is a non-coding RNA of Styela clava, 1725 nucleotides long. The record is from RefSeq and is a predicted model, not a curated record. NCBI's taxonomy places the organism in Eukaryota, Metazoa, Chordata, Ascidiacea, Stolidobranchia, Styelidae.